Molecule: ribosomal RNA, 253 nt
Filed under: uncultured bacterium
Lineage: Bacteria
Description: partial 16S ribosomal RNA
Rfam family: Bacterial small subunit ribosomal RNA
Source: RNAcentral
UACGGAGGGUGCAAGCGUUAUCCGGAUUUACUGGGUUUAAAGGGUGCGUAGGUGGAUUGGUAAGUCAGUGGUGAAAUACUACAGCGCAACUGUGGAACUGCCCUUGAUACUAUCAAUCUUGAAUGCAGUGGAGGCAGGCGGAAUGUGUCAUGUAGCGGUGAAAUGCUUAGAUAUGACACAGAACACCUAUUGCGAAGGCAGCUUGCUACACUGUGAUUGACACUGAGGCACGAAAGCGUGGGGAUCAAACAGG